GACGAACGCUGGCGGCGUGCUUAACACAUGCAAGUCGAACGGUGAACCAGAGCUUGCUCUGGGGAUCAGUGGCGAACGGGUGAGUAACACGUGGGCAACCUGCCCAGACUCUGGGAUAACCUCGGGAAACCGAUGCUAAUACCGGAUACGACCACUUCGGACAUCCGACGGUGGUGGAAAGUUUUCGGUCUGGGAUGGGCCGCGGCCUAUCAGCUAGUUGGUGGGGUAAUGGCCUACCAAGGCGACGACGGGUAGCCGGCCUGAGAGGGCGACCGGCCACACUGGAACUGAGACACGGUCCAGACUCCUACGGGAGGCAGCAGUGGGGAAUAUUGCACAAUGGGCGAAAGCCUGAUGCAGCGACGCCGCGUUGAGGGGACGACGGCCUUCGGGUUGUAAACCUCUUUCAGCAGGGACGAAGCGAAAGUGACUGUACCUGCAGAAGAAGACACCGGCUAACUACGUGCCAGCAGCCGCGGUAAU
RNAcentral lists this ribosomal RNA (483 nucleotides) under uncultured bacterium. RNAcentral describes it as "bacterial SSU rRNA". It matches the Rfam family "Bacterial small subunit ribosomal RNA", at positions 28 to 524 of the family's 1533-position model. The record is from RNAcentral.